RNAcentral lists this long non-coding RNA (791 nucleotides) under Callithrix jacchus (white-tufted-ear marmoset). RNAcentral describes it as "lncRNA (ENSCJAG00000075840.1)". Lineage: Eukaryota; Metazoa; Chordata; Mammalia; Primates; Cebidae. The record is from RNAcentral.
AAAUUAUUUGAUUGGAUUUAUCUUUAUAAAAUAGUCCAACUGAAUGCUGAAGAGAGCUAGAAUAUGGUCACUGGAAACAGAAAAAAUCCGGUUUUCUCCCCAUCUGUUUAACCAUGCUCUUAUGCCCUUUUUCUUUUCUUUUUAGUUCCAAGGCACGUUGAUCGUACCUAUACAUCUCACCAAGAACAUGGAUGCUUCUCUGCUAUCAGCUGAAGCUGCUGUGACCCCAAAACUAAAAAAUCGCAUUCUGAAUCCUUGCCAAUAAAGAAUGGCCAUCAGAACACGCCCAGUAUCCUAUCUCCUCAUCCAGACAGUGUUUCUCAGUAGAGCUGGACAAUGGGCAGGUUAGUUAGACAACUGGCCAGAGUUCCAAGCUAUGCAGUGGCCUAAACAGCAUUGGAAUAAACUGGAAGUGUGGUACCUCUCAGUCAGAUCAGCUUUCUGCACAUGACUCCUCAGAUAUGACUAGGAAGAUUUCAACUCCAGUUGCUUCUGAAACUAAGAGUUACCCUGAUUCUUGCCAGAAAAAAACCUUCCCCCUCCUGGGAAACUUGUUUAUUUACUUUAACUGCCUUAUCUACUAUUCCAAGGACUUUAGAACCAUUAGGGAGAUGGAUAUUCCAUGUUCUUCCAUGGCAAAGAAAUUAAUUUUAAUCAACAGAAUGUCACUUUUUAUUCCAUGCAUUGAAGACUGCAAUGUUGAAGUGACUUCACUGACAGCUUUCACAAGCCCAUCAUUUAAGGUAAUGGAUAAAAUGAAACAUUUUACUGAAGCAAGGUUCAUUUCUUAG